GGGGAAUAUUGGGCAAUGGGCGCAAGCCUGACCCAGCAACGCCGCGUGAAGGAAGAAGGCUUUCGGGUUGUAAACUUCUUUUGUCAGGGACGAGUAGAAGACGGUACCUGACGAAUAAGCCACGGCUAACUACGUGCCAGCAGCCGCGGUAAUACGUAGGUGGCAAGCGUUGUCCGGGUUUACUGGGUGUAAAGGGCGUGUAGCCGGGAGGGCAAGUCAGAUGUGAAAUCCACGGGCUUAACUCGUGAACUGCAUUUGAAACUGUUCUUCUUGAGUAUCGGAGAGGCAGUCGGAAUUCCUAGUGUAGCGGUGAAAUGCGUAGAUAUUAGGAGGAACACCAGUGGCGAAGGCGGAUUGCUGGACGACAACUGACGGUGAGGCGCGAAAGCGUGGGGAGCAAAC
This 402-nucleotide ribosomal RNA is filed under the name uncultured bacterium. Its description in RNAcentral is "bacterial SSU rRNA". It matches the Rfam family "Bacterial small subunit ribosomal RNA", at positions 356 to 773 of the family's 1533-position model. The record is from RNAcentral.